This 68-nucleotide transfer RNA is filed under the name Erinaceus europaeus (western European hedgehog). It matches the Rfam family "tRNA". From Rfam's summary of the family: Transfer RNA (tRNA) molecules are approximately 80 nucleotides in length. Lineage: Eukaryota; Metazoa; Chordata; Mammalia; Eulipotyphla; Erinaceidae. The record is from Rfam by way of RNAcentral.
GGUGAGGUGGCUCUGAGGUAGAGUGCAUGCCUUGCAUGCAUGAGGUCCUAGGUUCCAUCCUGACACCA